Molecule: RNA transcript, 2893 nt
Organism: Cajanus cajan (pigeon pea)
Lineage: Eukaryota; Viridiplantae; Streptophyta; Magnoliopsida; Fabales; Fabaceae
Gene: ASG2
Gene name: transducin family protein / WD-40 repeat family protein
Source: RefSeq, a predicted model, not a curated record
ACUUCAUUUACCCGAACAAACCUCAUUCUCAAUCUAUUUAUAAUUUAUAAUUUAUAAUUAUAAUUAUUAAAAAUAUUUAUUUCCGCUACAGUGUGCCACUUUCUUCCUUUGAUUUAAGAGAGUGAUAAAAUAUAUAUAUUUAUAUAAAAAAGAAAGCGAGAAGAGUAUGGAAGGAUUGUGAGUGUAACCGCCUCAGACAUUCACGCGACGGUGGUGAUGAUGGAGUAAUUGCCUACUUCAACUUUUUUUUCAGCACAGCCACACCGUUCUCCGCGAUGGACUCCGUUCCUUUUCGCGAUGGCAACAUACACUCCAUUCUCGACUCCCGAUACCUCCACUCUCCCCUCGAGGUUAAUCACAGUUUGCAGGCUCAUUCCUCGUUGAUUCGGAGGCUUUCUCUGGAGAGGGAGUUAGAGGGCCACCAUGGCUGUGUCAAUGCGGUGGCUUGGAAUUCCAAUGGUUCGUUGUUGAUAUCUGGAUCAGAUGAUACACGGAUCAAUAUUUGGAGCUAUUCUGGCCGAAAACUUUUACAUUCAAUUGACACAGGACAUACUGCAAAUAUAUUUUGUACCAAGUUUAUACCAGAAACUUCCAAUGAGCUUGUAGCUUCUGGAGCUGGAGAUGCUGAAGUCCGGUUAUUUAAUUUAUCUCGCUUAAGUGGGGGUGACAAUGCCAUCAUUGCUCCAGCUGCACUUUACCAAUGCCACACUCGAAGAGUCAAGAAAUUGGCUGUUGAAAAUGGAAACCCCAAUGUAGUAUGGAGUGCCAGUGAAGAUGGGACCGUUAGACAACAUGAUUUUCGAGAAGGUACCUCUUGUCCUCCAGCUGGAUCUUCGCACCAAGAGUGUCGAAAUAUUCUUCUUGACUUAAGAUGUGGAGCUAAAAGGUCACUUGCUGAUCCUCCUAAACAAGUCCUUGCUUUAAAAUCUUGUGAUAUCAGUUCAACUAGACCACAUUUGCUCCUUGUUGGUGGGAGUGAUGCCUUUGCACGCUUAUAUGAUAGAAGGAUGCUGCCGCCUCUUAGCUCAUGCCGGAAAAGAAUGUCUCCACCUCCUUGUGUUAAUUAUUUCUGUCCAAUGCAUCUUUCUGAUCGUGGACAUCCAAGUUUGCACUUGACUCAUGUUACAUUCAGUCCUGAUGGACAUGAGGUUCUCCUCAGCUAUAGUGGAGAGCAUGUUUACUUGAUGAAUGUAAAUUAUGCUGGAGUGAAUGAAAUGCAAUAUACUUCAGGAGACAUAUCAAAGCUGAUGACUUACUCUCCGACUAUUAAUGGGACUGAGUUGCAGCCUUGUGUGUCUAAUGUUUUCCCAAAUGGAUUUCCUAUAAAAAAGAACAUUGCUGCAAUGUUUGACAAGUGCAGGAAACUAAUAAAAUAUGCUAAGAAAUCAUUGGACUCUGGGACACCCUAUUAUGGAAUUGAGGCAUGUAAUGAGGUUUUGAAUGGCUAUAGCCAUAUUAUUGGACCUGCACUGAAACAUGAAUGCUUGUGUACUCGUGCUGCACUACUGAUCAAGAGGAAGUGGAAAAAUGAUGCUCAUAUGGCUAUAAGAGACUGCUAUGCUGCCAGGAAAAUUGAUGAUUCCUCCUAUAAAGCCCUUUACCAUAUGUCAGAAGCGUUGUCGCAGUUGGGUAGACAUGAAGAUGCUUUGGAUUUUGCUGUUGCUUCCCAUUUGUUGGCCCCUUCCAAAUCUGAACUUGCAGAAAGAGUGGAAAAUGUGAAGAAGGAUAUUGCUUUAGCUGAAGCUGAAAAAAAUAGUAAGACCAAUGAUGGACCAUCAAGGUUUGACAGUCGGGGUGGAAGAAUAUUAUCAUUAAGUGACAUACUAUAUCGACAUGAGGCCAACGGUGAUGCUCCACAAGAUGGUCCGAGAUCAGAGAGGGAUGAUUCUGAUUACGAUGAGGAAUUGGAGUUGGACUUUGAAACAUCAAUAUCUGGUGACGAGGGACAUGAUAUUGAAUCAAAUAUUCUUCAUGGAAGUUUAAAUCUUAGAAUUCAUAGGAGAGGUGACUCCAGAGACAAUUCUGGAGCAAGUGGCUUGUGUGAAUCACCAUCAUCAUCACAGAGCAGUAGAACAUCUUAUCAGCCUGAACCAGCUGUUGAUAUGAAACAGAGAUUUAUUGGCCACUGCAAUAUUGGCACUGACAUAAAACAAGCCAGUUUUCUUGGUCAAAGAGGUGAAUAUGUUGCCACUGGAAGUGAUGAUGGCAGAUGGUUUAUUUGGGAAAAGCGUACUGGUAGACUCAUAAAAAUGCUGAACGGGGAUGAAUCUGUUGUAAAUUGUGUACAAUGCCAUCCAUUUGAUUUUGUUGUUGCAACCAGUGGGAUUGAUAGCACAAUAAAGAUAUGGACUCCAAGUGCUCCUGUUGCAUCUUCUGUAGCUGGUGGUUCAGCAGGACCAGAAACUGGUGAUGUGUUGGUUGCUAUGGAGAGCAAUCAACAAAAAAUAUCCCGUAGCCGUAAUUCUAUCUUGCCCUUUGAGCUUUUGGAACCGUUUAGAAUGCAUGAGUUUCCUGAAGGAUCAUUACGCUUGCGUCCAUUUGAAUGUGCUCAAAGCUAAAGGUUUGCUAAUUCCCGUCUGCUGGUAAAUCCUACUUUGUUCAUUUCUCUUGCACGUGAGUAAUAUUCGGAUUCCUUUAUAAGACCCUGUCCAGAUAAAUUGAAAGGUGCUCUUUUGGUUGUGCGCAUGAAUCUGGACAUCGAUGGGGAGCAUUAUCUCAGUGGGUAGGAGCUUUGACUAUGGGAGGCAUUUUAAGGACGCGCAGAAUAAUUUGGGACGUUGAAAAUAAAUCUGGGGUGUUAUCCUGGAUUUUUUUUGGUAAAAAGGUAUUAUCCUGGAUUUAUUUCCUGGACUGUUUAUGAUUUGAAAAAAAAAAAAAACAAAAACAAAAAACA